CGAUUUGUAAACCAUGUUAACCA
Molecule: non-coding RNA, 23 nt
Filed under: Arabidopsis thaliana (thale cress)
Lineage: Eukaryota; Viridiplantae; Streptophyta; Magnoliopsida; Brassicales; Brassicaceae
Source: RNAcentral